CGAGGUGUGGCUCAGUUUGGUAGAGCGCUACGUUCGGGACGUAGAAGCCGCAGGUUCGAAUCCUGUCACCUCGACCA
This 77-nucleotide transfer RNA is filed under the name Ruminococcus sp. RNAcentral's name for it is "tRNA-Pro". It matches the Rfam family "tRNA". Rfam says of the family: Transfer RNA (tRNA) molecules are approximately 80 nucleotides in length. Their secondary structure includes four short double-helical elements and three loops (D, anti-codon, and T loops). Lineage: Bacteria; Bacillati; Bacillota; Clostridia; Eubacteriales; Oscillospiraceae. The record is from RNAcentral. RNAcentral also lists the same sequence under 2 other names.